ACAAAUUCGCCGUAUACAAAGGAAUUUCCCCUGUAUACGAAGCGUCAAAGUACCUGUAGAAAUACGAUACUACAAACAGUAGCAUAGAGCUGCUCAAUAACAAAAGCUAAUAACUGAGUUUCUUAUACAUAAUCCAAAACCAAGAUACAGAGUUACUCGCACUGGCGAGUUAAGUGAGCUAUGUACCUAAACUCAGACAAAACGUCUACCUGCAGUAGGGGGUGCCUCUAGCUCUGUCAGUCGGGUAGGGCUCUAGCUCGCGACGCCCUUGCCUCGAUCCUGAUCCGCGGAAGGCGCAGUAGCCGAAACCUGUGGCUCUGCAAAACAAGAGUAACAACUGGGCGUGAGAACUACUGUAAAAACAAGUAGUCCUCAGUGGGUACCGCCCAAACAACAUCGGUCACCCACUAAGUCUACAGAAGGGAGCAAGAAUAGUAGGAAAAGCAGGAAGUACGCUCUACCGCUAUCAAUCACUACACUAUCAUGCUCUACACUAACCAACUGUAGAAAAUGUCAAUCUGACCCAAUCCAAUCGGGACUAUAAACAUACCCGUCCCUGGGACUGUGAACACACCCGUCCCUGCCCCGUUGCGACUAUCCAGCUACCUCCACACCAACUGGUCCGUGGAGAGCAAGUCCAACUGGCAUGAGCGACACCAACGCGAAAGCACAAGCCUGACUCCGGAGUGGCACUCGUGGGCGCUACCCAACCGAGUAUGCAGCGUAUCUCUGUCGAGCUCAAACAGGCUCCAACUAGCCAAAGUCAAGUAAUCGACUCAAAAUGGUCUAACAACCAACAGGUAAGUGCCCUCGGCACAAUCUGACGCCCAAAAAGGCGAUACGGGUCCACCGUCAACUCUGACGGCACCCAACAGUCCGAAACAACCUGAACGACCCUGUAAAAAUCCACUCGGCGCACCAGCACGAGCGUAAAUAUAUUCUAAACUACCUGAAGUACUCGUCUCGAAGAUACUGCGACAGUACAAUUUUAUAACGGCUCCUAGAGCUAAAUCAGGCAGUUUAAACAUGUGACAGGUCCAAAUCGCAGGUUUUCUCCUAAUUCAAAUUCCAAGUCCAACAUGUAUAAACUACUCAAUUUAAUAUCACAUGCUCCAAAUUCAGAUUUGCUAUCUAUAACAAAAUCCAUGAAUUCGAGCUAAAGUAAACUAUACAAAAUCUGAAAUUACACAUGUUGACUAUUGCGCACUUAGGAGUAUAAGCCGAUGAUUAACCCACCUUAGUCGCUAAUCCCCAGCAGCGAGGACGUCCCGAAGCAAAGGAACACCCUGCUGGAUCAAUCCGCAAACCUCCAAAGGCCAGAAAUCACGCUCCCGCCAAACUCUACACGUAAAAUCCGAAAAUGAGCACCGAUUCUGCCUCAAAAACAGCAGCAGAGAAGAGAAUAAUUCCGACCAAGAAAACCUCCACCAAAACCAGCAAGUAAGGGCUUCUUGGAUUCCUCUCGAAGUCCCGAAUCCAACGAACCAAGUCUCGUCGAAAUCCGAUGCUCCUACGUCGAGAGGGAGCCGAAACGCCGACGGUCGACGCUGGAAAUCAGUGAAAACAGCACCUCGAGCUCGAAUUCAAUGAAGCUUGAAGUAGAGAAGAAAUCCAUGGAGGAAUGAGAGGAUACCCACCUCAACCAGCGACUCCAAUUCCGGCACGGCGUCGAGAACGACGAAAACACUCCCUCGCCCGGCCUCCUCGCGAAACUACGGCGACGCACGUAUGCUCGGACGGCUCCGCGGCGCGAUGUCGACGACGAAAUGCUCCACACGAACUCUUCCUUGCUCACAAUCGGCUAGAGAGAG
This 1811-nucleotide long non-coding RNA is filed under the name Ananas comosus (pineapple). Its description in RNAcentral is "long non-coding RNA (ACOM_LNC000928)". Lineage: Eukaryota; Viridiplantae; Streptophyta; Magnoliopsida; Poales; Bromeliaceae. The record is from RNAcentral.